This 423-nucleotide ribosomal RNA is filed under the name uncultured bacterium. Its description in RNAcentral is "partial 16S ribosomal RNA". It matches the Rfam family "Bacterial small subunit ribosomal RNA", at positions 359 to 774 of the family's 1533-position model. The record is from RNAcentral.
GAAUCUUCCACAAUGGACGAAAGUCUGAUGGCGCAACGCCGCGUGAGCGAAGAAGGUUUUCGGAUCGUAAAGCUCUGUUGCGAGGGAAGAACAAGUACGGGAGUAACUGCCCGUACCUUGACGGUACCUCGCCAGAAAGCCACGGCUAACUACCUGUCCGCCGCCGCGGGAAUACGUAGGUGGCAAGCGUUUACCGGAAUUAAUGGGCGUAAAGGGCGAGCAGGCGGUCCUUUAAGUCUAGAGUGAAAGCCCACGGCUCAACCGUGGAAGGUCAUUGGAAACUGGAGGACUUGAGUACAGAAGAGGAAAGCGGAAUUCCACGUGUUGGGGUGAAAUGCGUAGGGAUGUGGAGGAACACCAGUGGCGAAGGCGGCUUUCUGGUCUGUAACUGACGCUGAGGCGCGAAAGCGUGGGGAGCAAACA